AAUAGCCACCGAUGGAGCAAUCGGUGGCACAAUCGGUGUCGUCCAAGCACAGCCGCCGUCAUCCACGGCGAUCACCAUCUCCUUCUCCGGAGCGACCAUCUCAGCUUUCCUAUCGAGAUGAACAACGACAUUCUCGGCAUUCUCGACGUGCCACUCAUCGUUUCCGACGUUCUCCCUCUCCUUCCCAUCUCAAUAGUAUUAGGAAAGGGAAACGACCGUGAACGCCCUCCGUGUCUCUUUCAAACUCGUUGAGUUGAUCUACCCCCAGAGUUUCUCAAUGGC
Molecule: long non-coding RNA, 282 nt
Filed under: Elaeis guineensis (African oil palm)
Lineage: Eukaryota; Viridiplantae; Streptophyta; Magnoliopsida; Arecales; Arecaceae
Description: long non-coding RNA (EGUI_LNC037357)
Source: RNAcentral